GCCAAUUUGGUCUAGUAGUUAAGGUAGCAGUCUAGAACUCUGGAGACUGUGAGUUCUAAUCUCACUUUAGCCU
This is a transfer RNA of Ophiophagus hannah (king cobra), 73 nucleotides long. It matches the Rfam family "tRNA". Rfam says of the family: Transfer RNA (tRNA) molecules are approximately 80 nucleotides in length. Their secondary structure includes four short double-helical elements and three loops (D, anti-codon, and T loops). NCBI's taxonomy places the organism in Eukaryota, Metazoa, Chordata, Lepidosauria, Squamata, Elapidae. The record is from Rfam.